Molecule: ribosomal RNA, 253 nt
Filed under: uncultured bacterium
Lineage: Bacteria
Description: partial 16S ribosomal RNA
Rfam family: Bacterial small subunit ribosomal RNA
Source: RNAcentral
UACGUAGGGGGCAAGCGUUGUCCGGAAUCAUUGGGCGUAAAGCGCGUGUAGGCGGCUCGAUAAGUCUGCUGUGAAAGUCCAGGGCUCAACCCUGGAAUGCCGGUGGAAACUGUCGAGCUAGAGUCCGGAAGAGGCGAGUGGAAUUCCUGGUGUAGCGGUGAAAUGCGCAGAUAUCAGGAGGAACACCAAUGGCGAAGGCAGCUCGCUGGGACGUGACUGACGCUGAGACGCGAAAGCGUGGGGAGCAAACAGG